UACGGAGGGUGCAAGCGUUGUUCGGAAUCACUGGGCGUAAAGCGCGUGUAGGCGGCUUCGUAAGUCUGGUGUGAAAGCCCGGGGCUCACCCCCGGAAGUGCACUGGAAACUGCAAGGCUCGAGUACCGGAGAGGAGGGUGGAAUUCCUGGUGUAGCGGUGAAAUGCGUAGAUAUCAGGAGGAACACCGGUGGCGAAGGCGGCCCUCUAGUACGGUACUGACGCUGAGACGCGAAAGCGUGGGGAGCGAACAGG
Molecule: ribosomal RNA, 253 nt
Filed under: uncultured bacterium
Lineage: Bacteria
Description: partial 16S ribosomal RNA
Rfam family: Bacterial small subunit ribosomal RNA
Source: RNAcentral